AACUAACGCUGGCGGCGUGCUUAACACAUGCAAGUCGUACGAGAAAGUCCGCUUCGGCGAAUGAGUAAAGUGGCGCACGGGUGCGUAACACGUGGGUAAUCUGCCCUUUAGUGGGGAAUAACUCGCCGAAAGGCGGGCUAAUACCUCAUAACACCAUUUCCACCUCGGUGGGAUGGUCAAAGACAGCCUCGGUUUACAAGCUGUCACUGAAGGAUGAGCCCGGGGCCUAUCAGCUUGUUGGGGAGGUAACGGCUCACCAAGGCUAUGACGGGGAGCUGGUCUGAGAGGAUGACCAGCCACACUGGAACUGAGACACGGUCCAGACUCCUACGGGAGGCAGCAGUGGGGAAUCUUGGGCAAUGGGGGCAACCCUGACCCAGCGACGCCGCGUGAGUGAGGAAGGUCUUCGGAUCGUAAAGCUCUGUCGGAUGGGAAGAAAUGUGUGAGAGUUAAUAGCUCUCACGCUUGACGGUACCAUCAAAGGAAGCACCGGCUAACUCCGUGCCAGCAGCCGCCGUAA
Molecule: ribosomal RNA, 520 nt
Filed under: uncultured bacterium
Lineage: Bacteria
Description: partial 16S ribosomal RNA
Rfam family: Bacterial small subunit ribosomal RNA
Source: RNAcentral